AGGGAAUCUUCGGCAAUGGACGGAAGUCUGACCGAGCAACGCCGCGUGAGUGAAGAAGGUUUUCGGAUCGUAAAGCUCUGUUGUAAGAGAAGAACGAGUGUGAGAGUGGAAAGUUCACACUGUGACGGUAUCUUACCAGAAAGGGACGGCUAACUACGUGCCAGCAGCCGCGGUAAUACGUAGGUCCCGAGCGUUGUCCGGAUUUAUUGGGCGUAAAGCGAGCGCAGGCGGUUAGAUAAGUCUGAAGUUAAAGGCUGUGGCUUAACCAUAGUACGCUUUGGAAACUGUUUAACUUGAGUGCAAGAGGGGAGAGUGGAAUUCCAUGUGUAGCGGUGAAAUGCGUAGAUAUAUGGAGGAACACCGGUGGCGAAAGCGGCUCUCUGGCUUGUAACUGACGCUGAGGCUCGAAAGCGUGGGGAGCAAACAGGAUUAGAUACCCUGGUAGUCCACGCCGUAAACGAUGAGUGCUAGGUGUUAAACCCUUUCCGGGGUUUAGUGCCGUAGCUAACGCAUUAAGCACUCCGCCUGGGGAGUACGACCGCAAGGUUG
RNAcentral lists this ribosomal RNA (549 nucleotides) under uncultured bacterium. RNAcentral's name for it is "bacterial SSU rRNA". It matches the Rfam family "Bacterial small subunit ribosomal RNA", at positions 356 to 896 of the family's 1533-position model. The record is from RNAcentral.